UGGUAAGUGUACACAACUGUACUUUAUGUACUUACCAUAACUUGGCAUUUGUGUUGUCCAUUUUCAUUCUCCACUUCUCUCCCAUGCAUCCCCCAGCCUUGUCUGUCCUAGAAGUAGCUGGUAGAUGGUAUUUGAACCUUUCAGUUCCAGGUUUGAGCCCUAACAUUUUCUUGGAUUUUUUUCCAUCUCUUUUAUAAAUUGGGAGAAGAUGCAAUAAACUUGAUCUGACAAGUUGGGGAGAGAAUUGUGCAUUUUGGGUACAGGGAGGAGCUUGAGAAUUGGAUCUAAAGUCUUUUGUUUGUUGCCGAGUUGGAUCAGAGGGUCAGAUCCAAACCCAUCUGUGAGAAAGAAUGGAGCUGGACAAUACAGAUGCCAAGUUAUGGUAAGCACAUAACUUAUACAUUUUCAAUUUGUGCCCUUUACAGAGACAUGGAUCCCUUCUCUGAACCAGUCUCUGAAGUUUUCAGUUUUCUGGUUUCCAUUUUUAACAAUGGAGUGAGUUAUUCUACUAUUAAAGUUAAAUCAGUGGAUAUUUCUAAUUUGCAAUUAGGUGAGAAUCUCUCCUCUUGCUUCUUUGAAGUUGUGCAUGGCCUUUCUUAAGGGUGCCUUUUUACUCAGAUCCCCAGUGGAAGACCUCACCCCCACUUGGGAUUUGACUAUUCUAUUGCAAGCUCUAACCCAUCCUCCUUUUGAACGCUCGGCAAGAUAGACCUUAAGUUCUUGUCCUGGAAAACAUUUUUUCUGGUCACUAUCACUUCUGCUUGAUUAGUACUGAACUCCAAGUCCUCCUUACUUGACCUUCCAUAAAGGAUAGAGUUUCAUUAUGGACAAACCCAUCUUUUUAUACCUAAAGUGGCUUCUGAAUCCAACAUAAAUCAGGUCAUCAAUUUACCUGUGUUCUUUCCAAAAUUCUCAAAGUUGAACACCUGCAUCUUUUGGAUAUACACUGGCACUUAGAUUUUUUUCUGCACAGAACCCAAGAUUUUAGGAAAACUGACAAAUUAUUUGUAUCCUUUUCCAAGAAAAACUUGGGUAAAGCAGUGUCUAAAGAGAUGCUAGUUAAAUGGUUGACUGACUGUAUAUCUUUUGUUUAUAAAGGAGAUUUAUCUUUAUCUAAGCUCCCCAAAGCACAUUCCAUGAGGUCCGAAGUCACUUAUGCUUUUUGGUCAAGCGCGUCUAUAGAUGAUAUUUGUGCAGCUGCCACUUGCUCCAAUGCUCAGAACUUUUUUGCUCCUUAGAGGUUAGAUAUACUAUCCAGAAAUAGGGCAGCAUUUGAUUGAGCUGUACUCUGGAAUAUCCUUCCACAAGGACUACCCAAGGUUCAUCUUGCUGGGGACUGUGCUUCAUCAGUUGAGGAAUGAAUGGAAAUGGCAAAAUCCAAUACAAAAGUUGUGUGGUCACCAUAAUGAUGCAUCUGUGUUGUCCACUUUCAUUCUUCCUCAACUUCCCUCCCUUCAACCCCCUUCACUCUUUUCCUAGUGAGACGUAAGGGAUGUCCCUUUGGGAACCUGCCUGUUCCCUGUUUGGACUGCAGCCUUUCUGUAUGCCUCUAUCUUGUCUUUUGAUAUAAUGAUAUGGUGUCAUGUAUAUGUUAGUGUUGAGACAGCAAACUCAGUCUGAAGUAUGGCAGGGAUAGUAGGGCAUCAGGGUAAAGGAAGGAGCUUGAGAGCUGGAUCUGUGAGUCUAGUAAAGGCUGCCAAGCUGGAUUCAAGUUCAGAUCCAAGACCCAUUCGUUGAAGAAUGAAAAUGGACAACACAAAUGCAUCAUAAUGGUUAGUACAUAACUUUUGUUUCCUCCAUCUUUGUUUUCUGUUGUCCUUGAAGGCAAGGGUUAAGCUACAUAGAGGGGUGCUGUUAUUUUGAGUAAAGGGGGGGGGGUCUUUUUUUUCCAACUAAAUUUAAAUCCCUCUCACAGCAUACUGACUAUAUAUAUAUAUAUAUCUAUAUAUAUAUAUAUAUAUAUAUAUCAGGCUUGGGAGAGCAUUGAAGUGUGGCCUGAGCCCGUAGAGCAUCCACAUAAGCUUGUCUCACUCCUGCCCCUGAGCCCCAGCAUUCCUUCUGAGCUCCUUUCUCCACAAGAGCUCAAGCAAUGGGCUGCCUGGCAUGUCCAUUCUCUCUGCCUGCACUAAGACCCAGAAUUGUUAAUCGAACUUGGCCACCUGGGCUAUAAUCAGGAUUGUAUCCAUCUACAUCACCAGUGCAAGUUACCAGCUCACUUAUACAGUUAAGAAACAUUCAAACAAGCAAGCAGCUAAGUAAUAGGACCAGAGUGGUGGUCUAUUAUUCAUGCUGUGAUCCUUUCAGGCAGAAGGAUGUGAAGUUCAUUAUGGUAGCCUUUGAACUCAGCCCUUUUAUUUGAUUGUAACCUAUUAGGCAUGCUCCUGUUUUCAGGAGCAGCCCUGGAGCAAUAUGUGUUUAAUUAACUUGCUAAGUAUCUCACGGCCUGUAAUGAAGACCAGGAAAAUAGUUGUCCUCAAAGUAUCUUGCAAAAUUGUAGAUGGAUGAAUUCUUGUGAUUCCAUACUGUUUAUAUUUUUUAAUUGGAUGCUUGGCUUUUCUUUGUGAAUUCUUACAAAGGAGUUAAAAAAGUCAGGAGACCUGAACAGUUUAUCAGCAGUUAAACCCAUUUCCAAUUUGAUCUGGUAGAGGAUCCUCAAACCAAGCUUUUCCAGAAGAAGGUUAGUACAGAAUUGGAGUUAGAAAUAUGAAUUCUGUCUUCAUUAUCUUUAUUCUACAGUCUAUCUUCCCAGUAACAGCUGUUGAAUGUUAAUUCUUUUCGUUUAGUCAUACUUUGAAAUGAUUAAAAGUACUUGCUGAAAAGGGCCUUUUUGUGAUCUUAAAAGUCAUAUUAUCUGAUUCCUAGACCAUCAUAUAGUAUUAAACCAGUUAGCAAAUGAAAAAAAAAAAUUUGUUCUGUCUGUCUGCUGUUUUGUGAAAGUUGGAGUAUGAACCUUGCCAUUAGAACUAAGCAAAGGUACAAGAUGUGGUAUUUUGUUACAUGAUUUUAUUUCCUUACUGCAAACUUGGAAUAAGCAUUUCAGAUUUCCUCAUCACAUUACUUUGUACAUUAUUAUUAUUACUUUUUGAUUCUCAAAAUUUCACAUGCAUGAUUUCAGUCCUGUAUUUUUGGAAGUGGCUGAGUUUUAUUUCAGAUGGGCAAGUGACUCCUGAGAUCCAGAAACACAUUUAUAAAAGACUGAUUUCUUUCCAUUGUAAGCAAAGCCUGAAUUUGCUAAAAAUAUGAAGGUUUUUGGCUCUUGUAUGAUUGUAUCCAUUGUGACAAAAAUGUGCAUUUAUUUCUUUGGGUAAUGUAGUCUGUUAAAUCCAGUUCAGCAGGAGUGUCACUGAAAAGGAAUGCUGCCUCUUCCUGAGAUACAUAUUUGUUUUAUAAUUUUAUAAAAGCUAUCAAAAGGAAAUAUGAUGAUGGGAAAUGUUUUUAAACACGCACACACCAUGUAUUUCUUGAUAGGGACUAUUUCAUUGUUUUUCAAUAUCUUUGUUACCUUGCGUGUCUGUGGGAGAAAUGAGGGCUGUCUGUUGUUUUGCCAUCCAUUAAAAAAAGAACUCAUAGCUGUUUUAAGCUGUUGGGUGAUGCUACAUCCUUCUUGAGUCAGAAUUUAGACUGGUAGACUAGCACUGCUUUUCUUAUGGAUGUUAUUUUAAUAAUAAAUUGCUAAAUGUA
This is a long non-coding RNA of Protopterus annectens (West African lungfish), 3681 nucleotides long. RefSeq lists it as uncharacterized. The transcript is spliced from 3 exons. The record is from RefSeq and is a predicted model, not a curated record. Lineage: Eukaryota; Metazoa; Chordata; Ceratodontiformes; Protopteridae.